Molecule: long non-coding RNA, 275 nt
Organism: Fukomys damarensis (Damara mole-rat)
Lineage: Eukaryota; Metazoa; Chordata; Mammalia; Rodentia; Bathyergidae
Exons: 3
Source: RefSeq, a predicted model, not a curated record
CGCUGGAGCCCGGGGUCGUACACCUCGCCCCAGCCGAAGAGCGGCGGCGCCAGGGCGAUGAGGGCCGAGAGCGCCCAGCCACUGUUGUGUGUAAUCGGAGACAGCGAUCCAGCCUUCUCACCGGCAUACUGUGUGCAGUCUAGUCCAUGGAGGCUCAGCCUGAUUCCUGGGCGCAGGACACCAUGGUGCUACCCAGAUACCUUUGGCCAAGAACCAAGUUUUCCACAAGGAAUGAUGAUAAAGAAGACCAUCCGCCUGUCACCAGGACCCUGCAC